AGGAAAUCAGGGGAGCCUGCUUGCACCUGGCAAGGGCUUGAGAAACCUCGCGCUUGUCAGUCACCCAAACUCCAGGGGGAAAUUCAGCAGGGGAAGCCCCAACUUGAGCAGGACGUUUCCUCGGGGGCCCACCCGGAUGAAAAAGCACGCGUGUCCCUCUUGGGGUAGGGGCCCCCUCGACCUCGGAGGGCCAGCUCAGGACCCGCGUGGACUUGGAGGAAACCGCAGGGCUGGCCAUUCGGUCAGGUGCCCUUGGCCUACAUACACCGUAAGGAAGUCCCCAGUCUCAACACCUGCUGUCACUGAAUCCCCCUUGGUGACAUCCUGUCUCCAUGAAACUCGGGUUUUGGUAGCUGCUGUGUGCCAAGCGGUUCCUGGGGGGGAAGCGGUGUGGGCCGGCAGUGAGCUGUUGGGGGCAGCGUGAUUCCGGGUCAGGAAGCUGUGGAGAGGGGAACCUGCACAGCGGGGUCCUAAUUCGCCACGGUGGCUGCUCAGAGCAUGAAGCAUAAAGAAUUAUUUUUUUCAUUCAAUUCAUGUAAUUUUUAAAAACCGGCUGCUAAGUUAUUAGGAUUUUAGCAUUUCUUGUUACAUAGCUACUUAACAAACAGAACUGAUAGCUAUUUCUUUCGGCCUGGGGCAUUGUAAAAAAUGACUGGAAUACUGAGGAUUUGGUAAAAACGCGUAUGAUUCAAGUUGGCAUUGAAUUUGUAGCUUCUGGGCUGAUUUAUGCUCAUCUCUUUUUGCUGAUAUUAUGUCAAUGCAACGGCAUCAUUUAAUUUGAGCUGCGACUUUACAUAAAUCUUAUUUCUCUGCAAAUGGUUACUACAGGUGAUGUAUUCAUUUGGAUAAUAAAGUAUUAGUUUAAUUAUUUUAAGAAUUGCGUGUAAUUUCCCUUAGCGAGUGGCUAAUUUAUCUUGUUAUCCAAAUUGUCCAUUUUUUAAAGGUAAGAAUAUAUUUCUAGCAGUAUUCUCAGUUUGAAAGACUGAAAUAAACACUUCGUCUUUUUUUUAAUGAGGAGAAAGGUUUUACAUUAAUAUCUCACUUGGAUUAGCACAACCGAAUUUACAUUCAUGCAACUCAGAGAAAAUUCGAGAUGGUAAGCUGCCAGGAUGUACACUCACAUGC
RNAcentral lists this long non-coding RNA (1125 nucleotides) under Sus scrofa (pig). RNAcentral's name for it is "lncRNA (ENSSSCG00060045431.1)". Lineage: Eukaryota; Metazoa; Chordata; Mammalia; Artiodactyla; Suidae. The record is from RNAcentral.